GUGGGGAAUCUUCCGCAAUGGACGAAAGUCUGACGGAGCAACGCCGCGUGAGUGAAGAAGGUUUUCGGAUCGUAAAGCUCUUUCGUUAGGGACGAACGUGCUCUUUGUGAAUAAUGAGGAGUAAUGACGGUACCUAAAUAAGAAGCCACGGCUAACUACGUGCCAGCAGCCGCGGUAAUACGUAGGUGGCAAGCGUUGUCCGGAAUUAUUGGGCGUAAAGCGCGCGCAGGCGGGAUAUCAAGUCUGUCUUAAAAGUGCGAGGCUCAACCUCGUGAGGGGACAGAAACUGGUAUUCUUGAGUGUCGGAGAGGAAAGUGGAAUUCCAAGUGUAGCGGUGAAAUGCGUAGAGAUUUGGAAGAACACCAGUGACGAAGGCGACUUUCUGGACGAAAACUGACGCUGAGGCGCGAAAGCCAGGGGAGCGAACGGGAUUAGAUACCCCGGUAGUCC
This 450-nucleotide ribosomal RNA is filed under the name uncultured bacterium. Its description in RNAcentral is "partial 16S ribosomal RNA". It matches the Rfam family "Bacterial small subunit ribosomal RNA", at positions 354 to 796 of the family's 1533-position model. The record is from RNAcentral.